AAUCUUGAAGUAUAUUAAUACGUUGAAUUGCAAAUUCAAAAAAGUAGUUAGUAAAGCUACCGAGGUUU
This 68-nucleotide transfer RNA is filed under the name Monodelphis domestica (gray short-tailed opossum). RNAcentral describes it as "tRNA (ENSMODG00000021568.1)". The record is from RNAcentral. Lineage: Eukaryota; Metazoa; Chordata; Mammalia; Didelphimorphia; Didelphidae.